This 463-nucleotide ribosomal RNA is filed under the name uncultured bacterium. RNAcentral's name for it is "partial 16S ribosomal RNA". It matches the Rfam family "Bacterial small subunit ribosomal RNA", at positions 29 to 507 of the family's 1533-position model. The record is from RNAcentral.
AGUGAACGCUGGCGGCGUGCCUAAUACAUGCAAGUCGAACGAUGAAGUCCUAGCUUGCUAGGAUGGAUUAGUGGCGCACGGGUGAGUAAUAUAUAGUUAAUCUGCCCUACACAGAGGAACAACAGUUGGAAACGACUGCUAAUACCUCAUACUCCUAUUUGACAUAAGUUAAAUAGGGAAAGUCUUUUCGGUGUAGGAUGAGGCUAUAUCGUAUCAGCUAGUUGGUAAGGUAAUGGCUUACCAAGACUAUGACGCGUAACUGGUCUGAGAGGAUGAUCAGUCACAUUGGAACUGAGACACGGUCCAAACUCCUACGGGAGGCAGCAGUAAGGAAUAUUGCGCAAUGGGGGAAACCCUGACGCAGCAACGCCGCGUGGAGGAUGACACUUUUCGGAGCGUAAACUCCUUUUAUCAGGAAAGAAUAAUGACGGUACCUGAUGAAUAAGCACCGGCUAACUCCGUG